UACGAAGGGGGCUAGCGUUGUUCGGAAUUACUGGGCGUAAAGCGCGCGCAGGCGGUCUUCCAAGUCAGUGGUGAAAGCCCGGAGCUCAACUCCGGAACUGCCAUUGAAACUGUGAGACUUGAGUAUGAGAGAGGUGAGUGGAAUUCCCAGUGUAGAGGUGAAAUUCGUAGAUAUUGGGAAGAACACCGGUGGCGAAGGCGGCUCACUGGCUCAUUACUGACGCUGAGGCACGAAAGCUAGGGGAGAAAACAGG
This 253-nucleotide ribosomal RNA is filed under the name uncultured bacterium. RNAcentral's name for it is "partial 16S ribosomal RNA". It matches the Rfam family "Bacterial small subunit ribosomal RNA", at positions 524 to 776 of the family's 1533-position model. The record is from RNAcentral.